This 75-nucleotide transfer RNA is filed under the name Patescibacteria group bacterium. Its description in RNAcentral is "tRNA-Glu". It matches the Rfam family "tRNA". Rfam says of the family: Transfer RNA (tRNA) molecules are approximately 80 nucleotides in length. Their secondary structure includes four short double-helical elements and three loops (D, anti-codon, and T loops). The record is from RNAcentral.
GGCCCUAUCGUCUAUCGGUCAGGACGGCAGGUUUUCAUCCUGUAAAGCGGAGUUCGACUCUCCGUAGGGUCACCA